AUUGAACGCUGGCGGCAUGCUUUACACAUGCAAGUCGAACGGCAGCACGGGGCAACCUGGUGGCGAGUGGCGAACGGGUGAGUAAUAUAUCGGAACGUACCCAAGAGUGGGGGAUAACGUAGCGAAAGUUACGCUAAUACCGCAUACGAUCUAAGGAUGAAAGCAGGGGAUCUUCGGACCUUGUCCUCCUUGAGCGGCCGAUAUCUGAUUAGCUAGUUGGGGAGGUAAAGGCGCACCAAGGCGACGAUCAGUAGCUGGUCUGAGAGGACGACCAGCCACACUGGAACUGAGACACGGUCCAGACUCCUACGGGAGGCAGCAGUGGGGAAUUUUGGACAAUGGGCGCAAGCCUGAUCCAGCAAUGCCGCGUGAGUGAAGAAGGCCUUCGGGUUGUAAAGCUCUUUUGUCAGGGAAGAAACGGUUGUGGCUAAUAUCCAUGGCUAAUGACGGUACCUGAAGAAUAAGCACCGGCUAACUACGUGCCAGCCGCCGCCGUAA
RNAcentral lists this ribosomal RNA (498 nucleotides) under uncultured bacterium. Its description in RNAcentral is "partial 16S ribosomal RNA". It matches the Rfam family "Bacterial small subunit ribosomal RNA", at positions 30 to 523 of the family's 1533-position model. The record is from RNAcentral.